RNAcentral lists this ribosomal RNA (254 nucleotides) under uncultured bacterium. Its description in RNAcentral is "partial 16S ribosomal RNA". It matches the Rfam family "Bacterial small subunit ribosomal RNA", at positions 524 to 776 of the family's 1533-position model. The record is from RNAcentral.
UACGGAGGGUGCGAGCGUUGUCCGGAAUCAUUGGGCGUAAAGGGCGCGUAGGUGGCCUGCUAAGCGUGCGGUGAAAGUCCGGGGCUCAACCUCGGAUCGGCCGUGGCGACUCGUGGGCUGGAGCACUGUAGAGGCGGGUGGAAUUCCGGGUGUAGCGGUGGAAUGCGUAGAGAUCCGGAAGAACACCAGUGGCGAAGGCGGCCCGCUGGGCAGUGGCUGACGCUGAGGCGCGGACAGCGUGGGGAGCAAACAGG